RNAcentral lists this ribosomal RNA (587 nucleotides) under Trichoderma harzianum. RNAcentral describes it as "eukaryotic LSU rRNA". The stretch from base 241 to 394 matches the Rfam family "5.8S ribosomal RNA". Lineage: Eukaryota; Fungi; Ascomycota; Sordariomycetes; Hypocreales; Hypocreaceae. The record is from RNAcentral.
UAACAAGGUCUCCGUUGGUGAACCAGCGGAGGGAUCAUUACCGAGUUUACAACUCCCAAACCCAAUGUGAACGUUACCAAACUGUUGCCUCGGCGGGAUCUCUGCCCCGGGUGCGUCGCAGCCCCGGACCAAGGCGCCCGCCGGAGGACCAACCAAAACUCUUUUUGUAUACCCCCUCGCGGGUUUUUUAUAAUCUGAGCCUUCUCGGCGCCUCUCGUAGGCGUUUCGAAAAUGAAUCAAAACUUUCAACAACGGAUCUCUUGGUUCUGGCAUCGAUGAAGAACGCAGCGAAAUGCGAUAAGUAAUGUGAAUUGCAGAAUUCAGUGAAUCAUCGAAUCUUUGAACGCACAUUGCGCCCGCCAGUAUUCUGGCGGGCAUGCCUGUCCGAGCGUCAUUUCAACCCUCGAACCCCUCCGGGGGGUCGGCGUUGGGGAUCGGCCCUCCCUUAGCGGGUGGCCGUCUCCGAAAUACAGUGGCGGUCUCGCCGCAGCCUCUCCUGCGCAGUAGUUUGCACACUCGCAUCGGGAGCGCGGCGCGUCCACAGCCGUUAAACACCCAACUUCUGAAAUGUUGACCUCGGAUCAGGU